Molecule: ribosomal RNA, 456 nt
Filed under: Wickerhamiella pararugosa
Lineage: Eukaryota; Fungi; Ascomycota; Dipodascomycetes; Dipodascales; Trichomonascaceae
Description: partial large subunit ribosomal RNA
Rfam family: Eukaryotic large subunit ribosomal RNA
Source: RNAcentral
CCAACAGGCCGAGUUGUAAUUUGUAGAUGGCUACACUGCAUAAUAGUAGAUGCUCAAGUUCUUUGGAAAAAGACAUCAUGGAGGGUGACAAUCCCGUGAGGCAUGUUACUAGGAGCAUAUAGUGGGCUUUCUAAGAGUCGAGUUGUUUGGGAAUGCAGCUCAAAGUGCGUGGUGAAUACCAUGUAAAGCUAAAUAUGGACGAGAGACCGAUAGCGAACAAGUACUGUGAAGGAAAGAUGAAAAGCACUCCGAAAGGAGAGUGAAAUAGUACGUGAAAUUGUUAAAGUGGAAGGGCUUGAGAUCAGAAUUGGUAGUUUGGGUUCCACGUCCUCUUGGGGGCGUGUACUCCCUUUCCACCGGGCCAGCGGGAGUUUCGUCUCUUGGGUAAAAGCAGUGGAAUGUAGCAGCUUGUCUGUAUUAUAGCCUCUGUUCAUACAAGACGUCGAGACUUGAUUU